CUAUAAUAAGUAACAUAUUAAUUUUUAUUCUGUUGUGCAUCAUCAUGUACGAGUGUCGUGUGUGUGUUCAUAUAGAAAUACAUCAUCAUGUAUUAUAAUUGUUAUUGAGGAAAACUGUGGGGCUAUUAACAUGAGUUUAAGUGUUACCUGUUGCAAGUAGACCGAUAAAACAUGUGCUGCAAGAAAAAUAAAAAAAUGAAAUUGACUUCUUUAGCAGAUCGUCAGUGAGAUAAGUUUUGGUAUUGCAACUGCAGGAUAUUAACUGGGAACUGAAAGCCAAUGCUCCGGAUCAGGAAUCAUGAAAGCAAAAUUUAUGAAAAGCAAAUGCAUAAAAAUUAAUGAAAAAGUAAUUAAUAAUGAUGAAAUAGUAAUGGAAAUAUUAUAUAAGAGUGAAAAAGGGAAUCAAUGGUUCAUGUGCUCUCACACCACGGACCUACC
Ctenocephalides felis (cat flea) is the source of this 438-nucleotide long non-coding RNA. RefSeq lists it as uncharacterized. The transcript has 3 exons. The record is from RefSeq and is a predicted model, not a curated record. Lineage: Eukaryota; Metazoa; Arthropoda; Insecta; Siphonaptera; Pulicidae.